RNAcentral lists this ribosomal RNA (455 nucleotides) under uncultured bacterium. RNAcentral's name for it is "bacterial SSU rRNA". It matches the Rfam family "Bacterial small subunit ribosomal RNA", at positions 340 to 786 of the family's 1533-position model. The record is from RNAcentral.
UACGGAAGGCAGCAGUGGGGAAUAUUGCACAAUGGGCGAAAGCCUGAUGCAGCUAUGCCGCGUGUAUGAAGAAGGCCUUAGGGUUGUAAAGUACUUUCAUCGGGGAGGAAAAAACAAAACUAAUAAUUUUAUUUCUUGACGUUACCCGAAAAAGAAGCACCGGCUAACUCCGUGCCAGCAGCCGCGGUAAUACGGAGGGUGCUAGCGUUAAUCAGAAUUACUGGGCGUAAAGAGCACGUAGGUGGUUUUUUUAAAGUCAGAUGUGAAUCCCUGGGCUUAACCUAGGAACUGCAUUUUGAAACUGAAAUACUAGAGUAUCGUAGAGGGAGGUAGAAUUCUAGGUGUAGCGGUGAAAUGCGUAGAUAUCUGGAGGAAUACCUGUGGCGAAAGCGGCCUCCUAAACGAAUACUGACACUGAGGUGCGAAAGCGUGGGGAGCAAACAGGAUUAGAUACC